RNAcentral lists this long non-coding RNA (1543 nucleotides) under Manihot esculenta (cassava). RNAcentral's name for it is "long non-coding RNA (MESC_LNC002698)". The record is from RNAcentral. Lineage: Eukaryota; Viridiplantae; Streptophyta; Magnoliopsida; Malpighiales; Euphorbiaceae.
UCAGCAAUUUGGAGGAAUCAAUGGAGUCUGCUUUUACGUCAGCAACAUUUUUGAGUCAGCAGGUAAAGAGGUUGACUUAUGCUGCAGGCCCUUUAGCAUCACAAGGGCAAGGAAAAAUCACAUUCUGCCUCUGGUUAAUCAAAUAAGAAGACAUGCUUAACUAUCCGUUUUGCUCGUAUAACGUAUUAUUCCCAUAAUGGAUAUUUACUUAUUUCAUUUCCAAUAUCUCAGGAUUUUCUGCCACUAUUGGGACCAUAACCUAUGCCAUUAUUCAGGUUUGUAACCUUCACGAGCUUCAAGUCUAAAAUAUGUCCAUCCAUCCAACAGGAAUUGGUUGAAAUGGAUCUAUUUUGUAGGUAGUGGUUACUGCCCUUAACACAACUGUGAUAGACAAAGGUGGAAGAAGGCCUCUCUUAUUGGUGAUGUUUUGUUCAAGGCCCUGUUAACUUUUAAUAUUUUGUUGGGCAUAUCAUUUUUCACGUACAGAACUUUAUAUUUUGCUUUCUUUACACUCUAGGUUUCUGCAUCAGGACUGGUCACUGCCUGCGCUAUAACUGCAAUUUCAUUCUAUCUGAAGGUUACUCCUAAGCAAUCAAACUAACAUCUUUUUUCUUCACUGUCUUUCUCAAAUAUUUGACAUGUAAAGUUUUUCUGUGAAAGCAGGCUAAUGAAUUAGCACUCAAGUCUGUACCUAUACUCGCCGUCACUGGCAUACUGGUAACGUCAUAAGCGUUUUUUUAUGAUAAUCCAACAGAUUGAUCUCCAGGAAACAAAAGUUCUUACUAUUUCCUACUUUUACAUCUUCGAAUGCAGCUAUAUAUAGGAUCAUUUUCAGCUGGAAUGGGUGCGGUUCCCUGGGUUGUAAUGUCAGAGGUAAUAUACUUUUCAAGAUGAAAAUUCUAGCUGUUGGAGACUGAUAUCUCAUCCAUAAAAUUAAAAAAAAAAAAAAAAAAUUGUUGCAGAUAUUUCCUAUAAAUAUUAAAGGAGUAGCUGGAAGCCUAGCAACACUGAUGAACUGGUUUGGUGCAUGGACAAUUUCCUACACUUACAACUUUCUCAUGAGCUGGAGCUCCUAUGGUAAAUAAAACAAAAUUUUAUUCUGAAGCUAUGGAAAUCGAAAGACAACUCGAGUGCAUAAAAACCCUAAGUAAAUUUUAACUGUGAAAUUCAGGUACCUUUAUUCUCUAUGCUGCAAUCAAUGCUCUGGGUAUCUUCUUCGUGGCCAAGGUGGUACCAGAAACCAAAGGGCGAACCCUGGAACAAAUCCAAGCAGCCAUUAAUGCAUAGAGAGACAGAAAUGAAUGAAAGAUAACCAUAUCUUUGAAAUAAAUGCUAUUACAUAACUAUGAUCCGACCAAAACGGAAUCAUGGGUAAUUGAUGUUGUUCAUAGAAACAACUGAAAGGAGGGGUGCUAAGAUUUGUUAUCUCACCUGAUUUGUACUGAGAUCAGCUGUGAAUUGAGCAUUUGUUGAUGAAAUUCAAUCUCCAAAUUUGGAUUUACCUAAUUCUGCUCCCACUUGGGUUCUUGGAGGCUAAGAAUCG